Molecule: small RNA, 596 nt
Filed under: human gut metagenome
Source: RNAcentral
UGUGAAAAAAUGGCACAUUAUUCUAGUCGAUGGACUUACUAUGAAGGUGGGGCUAAAAAUCCACUAAAGAGCACAUCUGUGAAACUUCUGGUGUUUGCUUCUUACGCCCAGUCUGGGGUGGAUGCUGGAAGGUAGAAUAUUGGGCGCUCGUAAUGGCAUACGAUUCCGACCCAGUAUUCAUGGAGACCUAUUUUUGUGUAAUACCUAUACACUAUUAGUUGAUGGAUAUUAUACGAACUAGGCUUGAACCUACUAUGUGGGGAAACUUACGAGUAGUGUAGCUUGUCUUGCGUGAUGGUGGGGAAUAAUUGAUCUGAAUAAAUAAUUUAUAGCUAAAAUUAUUUAUUAUUGCAAUUUGAAACUACUGUUGCAAAAAAGAAUUAAUAGUAACGAAGUUGUUGAGGAAAUCUCCUAGAAUGUAUUAUUAUAAUGGGAUUGCAGUGCGUACUAAGUGGCAAUCAAGUCGUAUAUUCGGUGACGAUAUACCUCUUCUUUAAAGGGAAACCGCUAUCCUGGUAACGGGAAGUACGAAAUGGGGAAAUCCAACUUGACCUAUGACGCAAAGUUAACUAUUGUAGUAGCCAUUUUUAAAUUUU